AUACGGAGGGUGCGAGCGUUACUCGGAGUCACUGGGCGUAAAGCGUCCGUAGGCGGUCGGGUAAGUCGGGUGUGAAAGCCCCGGGCUCACCCUGGGAAGUGCACCCGAUACUGCUCGACUCGAGUGCGGGAGAGGAUGGCGGAAUUCCCGGUGUAGCGGUGAAAUGCGUAGAGAUCGGGAGGAACACCAGUGGCGAAGGCGGCCAUCUGGCCCGCAACUGACGCUGAGGGACGAAAGCGUGGGGAGCAAACAGGAUUAGAAACCCUUGUAGUCC
This 274-nucleotide ribosomal RNA is filed under the name uncultured bacterium. RNAcentral's name for it is "partial 16S ribosomal RNA". It matches the Rfam family "Bacterial small subunit ribosomal RNA", at positions 523 to 796 of the family's 1533-position model. The record is from RNAcentral.